RNAcentral lists this ribosomal RNA (506 nucleotides) under uncultured bacterium. RNAcentral's name for it is "bacterial SSU rRNA". It matches the Rfam family "Bacterial small subunit ribosomal RNA", at positions 29 to 518 of the family's 1533-position model. The record is from RNAcentral.
AUGAACGCUGGCGGCGUGCCUAACACAUGCAAGUCGAACGGAGACUACACGCUGACGAGACUUCGGUCAAAUCUUGUGUAUUCUUAGUGGCGGACGGGUGAGUAACGCGUGGGCAACCUGCCUCAUACUGGGGGAUAGCAGUUGGAAACGACUGAUAAUACCGCAUAAGCGCACAGUAUCGCAUGAUACAGUGUGAAAAACUCCGGUGGUAUGAGAUGGGCCCGCGUCAGAUUAGCCAGUUGGCAGGGUAACGGCCUACCAAAGCGACGAUCUGUAGCCGGCCUGAGAGGGCGGACGGCCACAUUGGGACUGAGACACGGCCCAAACUCCUACGGGAGGCAGCAGUGGGGGAUAUUGCACAAUGGGGGAAACCCUGAUGCAGCGACGCCGCCGUGAGUGAAGAAGUAUUUCGGUAUGUAAAGCUCUAUCAGCAGGGAAGAAAGGCCCGUAAGGGAGAUGACGGUACCUGACUAAGAAGCCCCGGCUAACUACGUGCCAGCAGCCGC